AUGAGUAAAGUGGCGACCGGGUGAGUAACACGUGACUAACCUACCUUCGAGUGGGGGAUAACAUCGGGAAACCGAUGCUAAUACCGCAUAACAUCGCAAGAUCAAAGCAGCAAUGCGCUUGAAGAGGGGGUCGCGGCUGAUUAGCUAGUUGGUAGGGUAAUGGCCUACCAAGGCUUAGAUCGGUAGCCGGCCUGAGAGGGCGCACGGCCACACUGGAACUGAAACACGGUCCAGACUCCUACGGGAGGCAGCAGUGGGGAAUUUUGCGCAAUGGGGGAAACCCUGACGCAGCAACGCCGCGUGGAGGAUGAAGUCCCUUGGGACGUAAACUCCUUUCGACCGGGAAGAUACUGACGGUACCGGAAGAAGAAGCACCGGCUAACUCUGUGCCAGCAGCCGCGGUAAUACAGAGGGUGCGAGCGUUGUUCGGAAUUAUUGGGCGUAAAGGGCGCGUAGGCGGCGCGGUAUGUCACCUGUGAAAUCUCCUGGCUCAACUGGGAGCUUGCAGGCGAAACUGCCGUGCUGGAGUGUGGGAGAGGUGCGUGGAAUUCCUGGUGUAGCGGUGAAAUGCGUAGAUAUCAGGAGGAACACCUGUGGCGAAAGCGGCGCACUGGACCACAACUGACGCUGAGGCGCGAAAGCUAGGGGAGCAAACAGGAUUAGAUACCCUGGUAGUCCUAGCCCUAAACGAUGGAUGCU
This 699-nucleotide ribosomal RNA is filed under the name uncultured bacterium. Its description in RNAcentral is "bacterial SSU rRNA". It matches the Rfam family "Bacterial small subunit ribosomal RNA", at positions 86 to 817 of the family's 1533-position model. The record is from RNAcentral.